This 240-nucleotide ribosomal RNA is filed under the name uncultured bacterium. RNAcentral describes it as "partial 16S ribosomal RNA". It matches the Rfam family "Bacterial small subunit ribosomal RNA", at positions 94 to 334 of the family's 1533-position model. The record is from RNAcentral.
AGUGGCGGACGGGUGAGUAACGCGUGGGUAACCUGCCUCAUACAGGGGGAGUACAGUUAGAAAUGACUGCUAAUACCGCAUAAGACCACGGAGCCGCAUGGCUCAGUGGGAAAAACUCCGGUGGUAUGAGAUGGACCCGCGUCUGAUUAGGUAGUUGGUGGGGUAACGGCCUACCAAGCCAACGAUCAGUAGCCGACCUGAGAGGGUGACCGGCCACAUUGGGACUGAGACACGGCCCAA